GAUGAAGAACGUAGUGAAAUGCGAUAAGUAAUGUAAAUUGCAGAAUUCAGUGAAUCAUCGAAUCUUUGAACGCACCUUGCGCCCUUUGGCUAUUCCAAAGGGCAUGCCUGUUUGAGUAUCAUGAACACCUCAACUCUCAUGGUCUGCCAUGAUGAGCUUGGACUUUGGAGGUCUGCUGGCCUGUGGUCAGCUCCUCUCAAAUGAAUCAGCUUUCCGGUGUUUGGUGGCAUCAUGGGUGUGAUAAAUAUCUACGCUUGUGGUUUUCCACCAGGUAACCUUCAGUGAUGGGGGUUCGCUGGGGCUCAUAAAUGUCUCUCCUCAGCGAAGACAGCUUUGUGAAUGUUUGAUCUCAAAUCAGGUAGGACUACCCGCUGAACUUAAGCAUAUCAAUAAGCGGAGGA
This 401-nucleotide unclassified non-coding RNA is filed under the name soil metagenome. Its description in RNAcentral is "partial contains 5.8S ribosomal RNA, internal transcribed spacer 2, and large subunit ribosomal RNA". The stretch from base 1 to 121 matches the Rfam family "5.8S ribosomal RNA", at positions 35 to 154 of the family's 154-position model. The record is from RNAcentral.